AACGCGAAGAACCUUACCUGGGCUCGAAAUGCUGUGGACCAGCUUAUGAAAGUAGGCCUUCCCGCAAGGGACCGCAGUAUAGGUGCUGCAUGGCUGUCGUCAGCUCGUGUCGUGAGAUGUUGGGUUAAGUCCCGCAACGAGCGCAACCCUUGUCCUGUGUUGCCAUACCGAAAGGUGGAACUCGCAGGAGACCGCCAGGGAUAACCUGGAGGAAGGUGGGGAUGACGUCAAGUCCUCAUGGCCUUUAUGUCCAGGGCUACACACGUGCUACAAUGGACGGUACAAAGGGCUGCCAACCCGCGAGGGGGAGCCAAUCCCAAAAAACCGUUCUCAGUUCGGAUUGCAGGCUGCAACUCGCCUGCAUGAAGCUGGAAUCGCUAGUAAUGGCGGAUCAGAACGCCGCCGUGAAUACGUUCCCGGGCCUUGUA
This 428-nucleotide ribosomal RNA is filed under the name uncultured Acidobacterium sp. RNAcentral's name for it is "bacterial SSU rRNA". It matches the Rfam family "Bacterial small subunit ribosomal RNA", at positions 958 to 1385 of the family's 1533-position model. The record is from RNAcentral. Lineage: Bacteria; Pseudomonadati; Acidobacteriota; Terriglobia; Terriglobales; Acidobacteriaceae.